RNAcentral lists this long non-coding RNA (421 nucleotides) under Macaca mulatta (Rhesus monkey). Its description in RNAcentral is "lncRNA (ENSMMUG00000049036.2)". Lineage: Eukaryota; Metazoa; Chordata; Mammalia; Primates; Cercopithecidae. The record is from RNAcentral.
UGUAGGAUAAAGACUGCUUGCCUGAGAAGCUCCUGCCUGAGCAUCCUGCUUAAAAUUGUGAUGUUCCUAGUGGAAAAGCUGGGAGCAGAAUAAGCUAGAAAAUUGUUCAGACUCAGCUUGUCUGGUGUUGGUCAUCCCAUCAUUUACUGGACAGCUCUGAGUCUCCAACGAUUUAUCAAUUGUAGCUCAGGUUUUCCUACCCCAGUGCUGAUUCCUGUGGAGGUUUCUGCUCGGGUGAGUUAAGACUCUGUACCUGCUUGUUUGCCUCUUCAAUUUUGGAGGCAGUGGUUUGCCUUGUGACCUCACUUUUCUUACAGAUCUAAGAAGAGUUGCUGAUUUUUCAUUUUGUUCAGUUUUUUACUUGUUAGGAUGAAAGGGCACUUCCAAGCUUUUUACAUGCCAGAAUGGAAGGUGGAAGUCU